Oncorhynchus keta (chum salmon) is the source of this 2069-nucleotide RNA transcript. It is a transcript of the gene named E3 ubiquitin-protein ligase Hakai-like, with no coding region annotated. The record is from RefSeq and is a predicted model, not a curated record. The transcript is spliced from 6 exons. Lineage: Eukaryota; Metazoa; Chordata; Actinopteri; Salmoniformes; Salmonidae.
UUGGUGGCGCUGUAUACGCCUUUCAGUUGGUUGCGAUCGGCCAAUACAAAUGUAAAGAAGAAGAACAAUCCUUUCCCAUACUGCAAUGCGUCAAUAAUUUGAUAAUGUACCAAAAUGACACUGAUCUACAAGGCACUGAUGGUUCAGGCAUUCUUGGGGGCCCUGAUGUACGCAGACGGAUCCCCAUUAAGCUGAUAUCCAAGCAGCCAGUCAGAAACAAGGCUGUUAACCACUCACAGAGACCCCUAAGCAGACUGCCCUCCAAAACCCAGUCUAAUGAUGAAGAGGGCUUUGGGUUCAAGCAGGAAGAUAGAUUUGAGCGCAAGUCUGGAGAUGCGUUAGGCAACCAGAGGAGGUUCCCUCAGCCCGUGUUCUGGGACUACAAACUGAAUCUGGUUGGCGAAAAGGACGACACGCCAGUUCAUUUCUGUGAGAUAUGUGGCCUUCCCAUAAAGCUCUAUGGACGCAUGAUUCCCUGCAAGCAUGUAUUUUGCUAUGAUUGUGCCCUGCUCCAUGAGAAGAAGAUGGAAAAGAUGUGUCCAGGUCUCACCCUAUACAGCUGCACAGAUCCGGUCCAGCGGAUCGAGCAGUGCCUGCGGGGCCUCCUCUACAUGUGCAGCAUCGUUCCGGGCUGCAAGCGCACCUACUUGUCCCAGCGCGACCUGCAGGCCCAUGUCAACCACCGACACAUGAGGGCAUCCAAGGCUGCAGGAGGGGGCAUUCUACCACGCCUAGAGCCCUUGCAUCCACAACUGGCCUCAGAGCCACCUGACCACUUCCGUCGAAUACCACUGCCCCACCUGGCCAAAGGACACCCCCUCAUACCCCCACAGCUGCAGGUACACGACCCCUAUGGUCAGCCCCCUCCCGCCUCGCCGUCAACCCCCUCCUCUGAACUGGGACCCUCUGGUCUCCAUCGCCCCCCACUGGGUCAGGAGACGUUCCGCAUUGCCACGUUGACUACUCGCAAGCACAGCAACCUCAUCACUGUGCCCAUUCAGGAUGACUCUGGGGACUCGCCCCUUCCCCAGCCUGCCCAGGGCAUGCCCCCUCCCCACCAGCAUCAGGGAGACUACCCUGGCCAGCCCCACCACCUGCUGGCCCUCCCACCCCAGCAGCAGCACUACGGCCCACCCCUCAGCCGCCACCCACCCUCAGCCACUCUAUGCAGCACCUGCCUCAGGGCUCCGGGACACCUCAUCUGGUCUACAACCAGGUCCCUCCCAUGUCCUCAGGCCUGCCUCCUAUCACCCCACCUCCUGGACACAUCAUGGGCCAGAUGCCUCCCUACAUGAACCACCCACCUCCCCCAGGCCCCCUGCCCCAACACGGUGGUCCUCCUGUUAACACGCCCCCUCCCCACCACUACAAUCCAAGCUCCAUGCAGAAGGAUCGGGGCACUCUUAGCCCGCCCUUUAAUCAGCCCGGGGGACUGAGCCCAGGGAUGUGGCCAGCCCCCAGGGGCACUCACCCACCCUGCAUGCAGGGGCCCCCACCCCAUAGCCAGAUGCCUGGUCCUCCCCAGCACCCAGACCAGUCCCGCUACCACCCUUACUAUCAGUAACCUCACCCACAAAACCUAGUUCAGAGUUCAGACAUUGCAUUGUGUUGAUUAGUUUAAAUAUGGAGCCUAAUAUGAGUAAGUGGAACUAAUGAUAACCUGUAUACUCACUUCAGGAUUUCUGAACAUCUCAAUAGAUUUUAGAAAUAGUUUCUAUGUUUUUGAAUUCUCAUCAAAUUAAUUGUGAAAGACUGAACUUAAUUUAAUUUUUCUGAAGUCAAGCCUUAUUCUGACACAUGGAAAUGUUAUUUUGUCAUUUUCCAAAUAUGUAAUGCCUGGUGAAUUUUUCAAUGGGAUAGAAUUUGAUCAAAUGUAUGGUUACAAAAAUGAUUUAAUGUCUUUGGUACAUUGUGUGGAGGCAUUGGCCAUUCAUAUUUUGGGUGAGAUGUUAAACAAAAUGAAUGUACUGAUAUGAAAAUAAUGAUAAAAAAUACCUGCCAUUUCUGAAAUGUAAGCAACUGAGUUUUUUUUUAACCAAAUGUUAUUACAAUAAAGGUUGCAUACCCCC